RNAcentral lists this ribosomal RNA (889 nucleotides) under Ischnura rubilio. RNAcentral's name for it is "SSU rRNA". It matches the Rfam family "Eukaryotic small subunit ribosomal RNA", at positions 49 to 906 of the family's 1831-position model. The record is from RNAcentral. Lineage: Eukaryota; Metazoa; Arthropoda; Insecta; Odonata; Coenagrionidae.
CCAUGCAUGUCUCAGUACAAACCGCUUUAAGGCGAAACCGCGAAUGGCUCAUUAAAUCAGUUAUGGUUCCUUGGAUCUUACCCACGCUUACAUGGAUAACUGUGGUAAUUCUAGAGCUAAUACAUGAACCUCGUGCCCCGACCAGUGAUGGGAGGGGUGCUUUUAUUAGAACAAAACCAAUCGGCUCGUCCGUUGCCUUGGUGACUCUGAAUAACUUUUGGCUGAUCGCACGGUCCUGGCACCGGCGACGCAUCUUUCAAAUGUCUGCCUUAUCAACUUUCGAUGGUAGGUUCUGCGCCUACCAUGGUUGUAACGGGUGACGGGGAAUCAGGGUUCGAUCCCGGAGAGGGAGCCUGAGAAACGGCUACCACAUCCAAGGAAGGCAGCAGGCGCGCAAAUUACCCACUCCCGGAACGGGGAGGUAGUGACGAAAAAUAACGAUACGGGACUCAUCCGAGGCCCCGUAAUCGGAAUGAGAACACUUUAAAUCCUUUAACGAGGAUCUAUUGGAGGGCAAGUCUGGUGCCAGCAGCCGCGGUAAUUCCAGCUCCAAUAGCGUAUAUUAAAGUUGUUGCGGUUAAAAAGCUCGUAGUCGGAGGUGUGUCUCGGACGGUCGGUUCGCCGCUUGUCGGUGCUCAACUGGCCGGUCCGGACGUCCUGCCGGUGGGGCCUCACGGCCCCGUCAUCCUUCUUUGGUCCUCUUCACCGAGUGCCUUGGUGGGCCGGCACGUUUACUUUGAACAAAUUAGAGUGCUCAAAGCAGGCCGUUGGUCGCCUGAAUACUGUGUGCAUGGAAUAAUGGAAUAGGACCUCGGUUCCAUUUUGUUGGUUUUCGGGACUCGAGGUAAUGAUUAAUAGGGACGGACGGGGGCAUUCGUAUUGCGACGUU